Molecule: long non-coding RNA, 200 nt
Organism: Octopus sinensis (East Asian common octopus)
Lineage: Eukaryota; Metazoa; Mollusca; Cephalopoda; Octopoda; Octopodidae
Exons: 3
Source: RefSeq, a predicted model, not a curated record
GUUUUGUGAGUGAAAUAUUGUUUAUUCCUUCUCGAGCCACGCCUGGCUCAUAAGGGCCGGUUUUUCGGUUUCAUUGGUGUAUAUGUUUCCGACCUGGACGGGACGCCGGUCCGUCGCAGGUGAGCUGCAAGAUGCAGGAAGAAAGAGUGAGAGAAAGUUGUGGGGAAAAAGUCAGCAGAAGUUCGCCACUACCUUUUCUC